This is a non-coding RNA of Oryza sativa Japonica Group (Japanese rice), 2733 nucleotides long. The record is from RefSeq and is a predicted model, not a curated record. Lineage: Eukaryota; Viridiplantae; Streptophyta; Magnoliopsida; Poales; Poaceae.
CCCCCCCAUCCCAUUCUCGCCGCCGCCCUCAUCUCGCUCCGGUAAUCCUACCUGCCGGAUCCGACCGAUCCUCUCCAACUACAGCAUCUCCAUCCCCCUGUUCUUUUCUUCUGUUGAUCACAGCACGCGCUGUUUUUGUUUUCCCCGCUCUCUCUGAUCGCCGCAGUUUUUUCUGCCGUUGGAAUCCGGAUCUUCGUCGUGGUCGCGUCGCCGGUGGCCGUCGCGAGCAUCGAAGCACACCUGCAAAAACUCUCAUGUGAUGACACCUUCAGUACAAAGCUGAUUCUGAAGGCUGAAAACAUCAAAUUCUGGCACUUAAAGUUCUUCUGGUACAUACUUUAGCGAACCACACCUGCGAAAAGUCUUACGUGAUGAUACCAAAGGCUGAAAACAUUGAAUCCUGGCACCCGGCAGGCGGGCAACUUGAAGUGGCGCUGCUCCAGAUCAUGCAACGCCACCACCACGAAUCCCUCCGUCAGCGCAAGCAAACUGAGAGAGCAAAGAUGGAUGCUGUGAGGAGUGCGGCGCGGGUUGCAGAUCUUCUCGUGGCCACGGUUGACGGCGGAGUGCAGGAGCUCUACAUCAACGAGAAGCGCAUAGAGCUUGAAGCCCGCGCGCUUCUUGCUACAAUCGCGUGGUACAGGAAGCAGACUGACCAGUGGCUUGCUGCCACCAAUGCAAUCAACUGUCUUGAAGGAAAUUGGAGAUUUUGAGAACUGGAUGAAGAUCAUGGAUUUUGACUGUAAAAGUAUAAAUGCGGCUAUCCGUAACAUUCACCAAUCCUAACUGUGCCGGUGACUAUGGUGUUAGGAAGAUUUUAUCCUGUUCCUACUCAGUUUAGCACUGUUUUUUUUUCUGAGUUGUCAACUCUGUUGUAUAGGACUGGUUUGGUCUACAAAAUUGAAAAAUUCCCAAGCUUUUUACUGGGAAGCCUCCUCGUAGGCAACAAUAUAUUCUGUUGCAAAUAUUUGAUCUACCUCAGAAAAUAAAUAUUGGUUCUAAGGAGAAAUCUUCAUCUACUAUAUGCCAAACUGUAUACUCUGACUAUAUUGUCAACUUUUUCACUUUGGUAAUGAAUAUGAUGAUAUAUUCAUGAUAUGAUAUAUUACUAGCUUUUCCUCAUUGCUGAUAUAGGCUCUUGCAUAUCUGCAUAUCAAGCACAUACAGUAGGAAAAUAUCUAAUGCCAAAUAAGCAUGAUUGCCGCAUUAUUUAAUUGUUAUUUUAAUCAUCUUUUGAUCAUAGACCUGAACCCUAGACAAUUAAUAUGAAAUUUGUUGAUUUGCAUGUACUAUGAUUAUGAGUUGUACUAGUAUUUAAGGAGCUAUAGUCAAUGAACUGAAUGUUGGCAUUAAGCCAAGUAAUGAUCAAUGCCAGCAUGAUAGGUCAUUCUGAACAGCAGUUCUUAAACAUUGUUAUUACAAGUUUUUCUUUUACAGUCUCUUUAGAAGGUUGAAAGCAUUUGGAGAACUUCAAAUUGAAGGGAAAAUUUCCAUGCCUUGAGGAAUUAACAUUCCCGAGAACAGCAAACCAUAAGCAAGCGUGUCUUUCUGAUGGGCUGCAAGCAGAUGCGUUCCGUACUAUGGUGGGCAACUAACAAGAAACUGUAGGUGCUACGUACGCAUUGGCACCAAUGGAGUUUGUGAUUCUUCCUCCUGCAGCCACCAGCAUUAUGACAGGAGGAGCAAGUACGAUGCAAUUGUUGUGACAGGAGAUGCGAGGUUCACUAGGUGAGCACCUUCCGAGCUGAUCAUUCUCAGGAGCUUCUAUUUAGAUUUGUACAUGCUGCUGCAGUUUCAUGUCGCACAGUUAAAGGAUCAGGAAGCAGCAGCAGGAAGAAGAUGGAGACUGCAGAUGAUCAUGAGUACUGCUACUAUUACUAUGAAGAACAAGCAUCAUCUGUUGCUGUUGGGGCCUUAACGAUGGCGAACACUGGUACUAAUAGUUGUAUCGGUACACUAUUAUUGAUGAUGAUGAUUGACGGGGCUCUGUGCUGCUCAUGAGGCGAGGAAACAAUCCCGGCCCAUGCGAAAUUGUGCGUUCGGUUAAGCCCUAGCGUGGAUUUUAGCCCAGCCCACCACGGGGUUUCCCUGUUCUGUAGGCCCAGGAAAAAAUCACCUACUCAAGAGGAGCGGAAAAAUUCCUCGAGAGGAGCGGCGGCGCAAUGAACACACAGACGCGACGGCAGGGGUGGCGUGCGGCGCGACCUGGAGGCGACGGCAACGGCGACGGCAUGGUUCUCUCCUCCGGCCGCCACCUUCUCUCCGAUUGCACGUGCACCAAUUAGAGUUGGAGAAGACCAACCUCCUCCUUCCUGGGACCCUGUACCCUCUCCAAGAGGAAAUGUACCGCACUCAUAUUUUUUUGACUUCCACCGAAGAAAUGUUGCAAGAAUCCUAAAUUGAUCAGAAGAUUCAGAACUAUCCCGACUUCGCAAAAUUCGUCGACGGAAUGGUAAACAAGGGACAGAUUUUUGUUAUAGAUGAUUCUGGACAAGAUGGUGUCAUGGAUCAGCAUCUUUAAGCAGGAGGGGCAGCUGACUUCAGACAUCGUAGAAUUCAGUUCUGCUUUGGUAGCUGUUCACGUUUUAUGUUAUGACUACACCAUGAUUGUAACACUAGCGUUCCCAGCUUCGUUUCAUUUUUCUUUUUCGUUUGAACCUGUAUACAGAUUGACAUUCUGUUGUAAAUUUUCUUGGGAUUGAAUAAAAAGUAAUGCUGAUUGUUGCAAGUUCA